CAGUCGCCGCGGUAAUACGUAGGGUGCGAGCGUUAAUCGGAUUUACUGGGCGUAAAGCGUGCGUAGGCGGCUUCUUAAGUCGGAUGUGAAAUCCCUGAGCUUAACUUAGGAAUUGCAUUCGAUACUGGGAAGCUAGAGUAUGGGAGAGGAUGGUAGAAUUCCAGGUGUAGCGGUGAAAUGCGUAGAGAUCUGGAGGAAUACCGAUGGCGAAGGCAGCCAUCUGGCCUAAUACUGACGCUGAGGUACGAAAGCAUGGGGAGCAAACAGGAUUAGAUACCCGGGUAGUCCCUGUCUCUUAUAC
This 301-nucleotide ribosomal RNA is filed under the name uncultured bacterium. Its description in RNAcentral is "partial 16S ribosomal RNA". It matches the Rfam family "Bacterial small subunit ribosomal RNA", at positions 509 to 807 of the family's 1533-position model. The record is from RNAcentral.